RNAcentral lists this ribosomal RNA (813 nucleotides) under uncultured bacterium. RNAcentral's name for it is "bacterial SSU rRNA". It matches the Rfam family "Bacterial small subunit ribosomal RNA", at positions 28 to 890 of the family's 1533-position model. The record is from RNAcentral.
AACGUACGCUGGCGGCACGCCUAACACAUGCAAGUCGAACGCAGUAGCAAUACUGAGUGGCAGACGGGUGAGUAACAUGUGGGAAUCUGCCUUGUGGUUCAGGACAACAUUGGGAAACUGAUGCUAAUACUGGAUAAGCCCUUACGGGGAAAGUUUUAAUACCAUAAGAUGAGCCCGCAUUUGAUUAGUUAGUUGGUGAGGUAAUGGCUCACCAAGACAAUGAUCAAUAGCUGAUCUGAGAGGAUGAUCAGCCACACUGGGACUGAGACACGGCCCAGACUCCUACGGGAGGCAGCAGUGGGGAAUCUUCCACAAUGGAGGAAACUCUGAUGCAGCGAUGCCGCGUGAGUGAAGAAGGCCUUUGGGUUGUAAAGCUCUUUUGUAGGGGAAGAUAAUGACUGUACCCUAAGAAUAAGGUCCGGCUAACUUCGUGCCAGCAGCCGCGGUAAUACGAAGGGACCUAGCGUAGUUCGGAAUUACUGGGCGUAAAGCGCGCGUAGGCCGUUGAGUUAGUUAAUUGUGAAAUCCCAAAGCUUAACUUUGGAACUGCAAUUAAAACUGCUCGACUAGAGUUUGAUAGAGGAAAGCGGAAUACAUAGUGUAGAGGUGAAAUUCGUAGAUAUUAUGUAGAGCACCAGUUGCGAAGGCGGCUUUCUGGAUCAACACUGACGCUGAGGCGCGAAAGUAUGGGUAGCAAAGAGGAUUAGAUACCCUCGUAGUCCAUACCAUAAACGAUGAUUGCUAGAUGUUGGAAAUUUAUUUUCAGUAUCGCAGCUAACGCAUUAAGCAAUCCGCCUGGGGAGUACGACCGCA